This 923-nucleotide ribosomal RNA is filed under the name uncultured Acidobacteriota bacterium. RNAcentral describes it as "bacterial SSU rRNA". It matches the Rfam family "Bacterial small subunit ribosomal RNA", at positions 221 to 1153 of the family's 1533-position model. The record is from RNAcentral. Lineage: Bacteria; Pseudomonadati; Acidobacteriota.
GAGGAGGAGCCCGCGCACGAUUAGCUAGUUGGUAGGGUAACGGCCUACCAAGGCUAUGAUCGUUAGCUGGUCUGAGAGGAUGGCCAGCCACACUGGAACUGAGACACGGUCCAGACUCCUACGGGAGGCAGCAGUGGGGAAUCUUGCACAAUGGGCGAAAGCCUGAUGCAGCGACGCCGCGUGGGGGAUGAAGCUUCUCGGAGUGUAAACCCCUUUCGACCCGGACGAAUGCCCCGCAAGGGGACUGACGGUACGGGUAUAAGAAGCCCCGGCUAACUACGUGCCAGCAGCCGCGGUAAGACGUAGGGGGCCAGCGUUGCUCGGAAUUACUGGGUGUAAAGGGUUCGUAGGCGGUGUGGCAAGUCGGGAGUGAAAUCUCUGGGCUCAACCCAGAGUCUGCUUCCGAAACUGCUGUGCUUGAGUGUGGGAGAGGCGCGUGGAAUUGCAGGUGUAGCGGUGAAAUGCGUAGAUAUCUGCAGGAACACCCGUGGCGAAAGCGGCGCGCUGGACCACUACUGACGCUGAGGAACGAAAGCUAGGGGAGCAAACAGGAUUAGAUACCCUGGUAGUCCUAGCCCUAAACGAUCAGGACUUGGGGUGCCACCCGUUCGGGUGUCGUCCCGGAGCUAACGCGUUAAGUCCUGCACCUGGGGAGUACGGUCGCAAGACUGAAACUCAAAGGAAUUGACGGGGGCCCGCACAAGCGGUGGAACAUGUGGUUCAAUUCGACGCUACGCGAGGAACCUUACCUGGGCUCGAAAUGCUUCUGACAAGCUGUAGAAAUACGGCCUUCCCGCAAGGGACAGGAGUAUAGGCGCUGCAUGGCUGUCGUCAGCUCGUGUCGUGAGAUGUUGGGUUAAGUCCCGCAACGAGCGCAACCCUUGUCCCUAGUUGCUACGCAAGAGCACUCUAGGGAGACUGCC